GAGGAUCAAGUUGCAUCCACUGGGGGACAGAUGCCAGAUAUGGACAAGAGAAAUGCUCAAACUGACCCUAGAACACCUUCGCAAGCUUUUACAAGCAAGUCACCCAAGAAGGGUAAAGGUCGCCAACCAUGCAAGAGGAGGACUUGGAAUAAAAGGGAGGUCCUUGCAGUCGAAAAGCACUUGAUGGCAUUCAUCAACACCUGUCGAGUUCCAGGGAAAGCAGACUGCGAUAAGUGUUUAAAACAGGAACCUGAUGCACUUAGACACAGAAAUUGGCUGGCGGUAAAGUUUUACGUUAAAAAUCGUAUAACAGCUCUUAAAAACAAAGUUUAAAAACAUUUAAUUUCAUGCUGCUUUUAGUUACUCAGCCAUGUCAUAGACAUUUCAGUUUCCUGUUGUCUUUUUUUUUUUUAAUAUAGAGAUAAUAGUAUAUCUUUUAGUUUUGGCUUUGUUGCAAUACCUUUUUUUACUGACCAUAAUUUCAGUUUGUACUUUUUAAGUUCAAUUGUUGGUUUGUCAAACAUUUACAGGAAAACAAACCAUCCUGUCAAGAGCUUGGUUAAGCAAUAAAUGUUCAUUCUUCAGCAUA
This is a long non-coding RNA of Xiphophorus couchianus (Monterrey platyfish), 589 nucleotides long. RefSeq lists it as uncharacterized. The transcript has 2 exons. NCBI's taxonomy places the organism in Eukaryota, Metazoa, Chordata, Actinopteri, Cyprinodontiformes, Poeciliidae. The record is from RefSeq and is a predicted model, not a curated record.